CCUANGGGUGGCAGCAGUCGAGAAUUUUUCUCAAUGGGGGAAACCCUGAAGGAGCGACGCCGCGUGGGGGAUGAAUGGCUUCGGCCCGUAAACCCCUGUCAUUUGCGAUCAAACCUUACGACCUAACACGUCGUAAGCUGAUAGUAGCGGAAGAGGAAGGGACGGCUAACUCUGUGCCAGCAGCCGCGGUAAUACAGAGGUCCCAAGCGUUGUUCGGAUUCACUGGGCGUAAAGGGUGCGUAGGCGGUCGGGUAAGUCUGACGUGAAAUCUUCAAGCUCAACUUGGAAACUGCGUCGGAUACUAUUCGGCUAGAGGAAUGGAGGGGAGACUGGAAUACUUGGUGUAGCAGUGAAAUGCGUAGAUAUCAAGUGGAACACCAGUGGCGAAGGCGAGUCUCUGGACAUUUCCUGACGCUGAGGCACGAAAGCCAGGGGAGCAAACGGGAUUAGAUACCCUGNUANUC
RNAcentral lists this ribosomal RNA (464 nucleotides) under uncultured bacterium. Its description in RNAcentral is "bacterial SSU rRNA". It matches the Rfam family "Bacterial small subunit ribosomal RNA", at positions 338 to 795 of the family's 1533-position model. The record is from RNAcentral.